Molecule: long non-coding RNA, 1010 nt
Filed under: Citrus x clementina
Lineage: Eukaryota; Viridiplantae; Streptophyta; Magnoliopsida; Sapindales; Rutaceae
Description: Citrus clementina (C. clementina) long non-coding RNA (CCLE_LNC001094)
Source: RNAcentral
AAAAUAUGAAGAUAAAUAAUGCUAAUUUGAACAAAAUAAAAAGAUAAAAGCAAUAAUAGUCUAUCACUAUAUAUUAUCACAAGUUAUAUACAGAUGGGUAAUAAUGCUAAUUAUUAAAUUUUAUUUAGCUAAGGAUAAAAAUUAAUUAAUUAAAUAUGGAUAUUUUGAAAAAUAUCUUUUAAUGAUAGUAUUCAAACUUUUUAGAUUAAAUAAAAAGCUAAAAAAAUUAGUUUAAUAACUUAAUUACUGAAAAUCUUCAUCAAGUUGAAAAAAUAAACUGACUUAAUGAUUUAACUUAUUAAAGUUAAGUCAAUUAAGUCAUUAAGUCAAAAAAAAAAAAAAAAAACAGCCUCUUAGUCUACAUUAUAAAAAACUAAUUUUGUAAUUUCCAAAUAUAUCAGGAAAUUUUGUUGCAAAUAUAUGUGUUUCAUUACUAGAAACAAGUCAAAUGAAGAGAAUCUCAAUUUAAAUAAAUAUUAUGAAAUAGGAGAAUAUUGGACAAAAUGGUGGAUAAACAUAAAUGGAACAAUUAACUAUAGUCAAAUUGCGUAUAUAGUGUUUAAUAAGCCAUUAGUGUCCAAAUGUGGCAACAUAAAUUAACAAUUAAAAAACUCUUGUCUUGUAGUGUAAUUAAACAUUUUCUAAUGCCAACCCAAUGCCUUUCUCAAUUUUUGUUGAUUAUUUGAUGGAACGUUUCUUGUUCAAGUUAUCAGAAAGUCUAAAUCUCCAUAUAUCAUGCUAUUUAAUUCGACUAUUAGAAGCAAGACAAAUAUCGUUAAUCGUUAACUUCUAAUUAAUGUUAUCUUAUCAAGCCACGUUAUGAAAUAGUCCAUUUGUUAGAGCCCAUUUACCGACUGCUAAGUAAUAAUGAUAUGCUUUAUUCCCAAUCGUUAACGUUCGAGUAGUCCUUAGGUUAAGUAUGUUCUAUAUUUUGAAAAUAUCUCAAGAUAUAUUUGUUUAGUUGCUUUUGAAUAUGUGACAAUUUUAUCCUUUUUUUUUACAACAAUGUC